This 433-nucleotide ribosomal RNA is filed under the name uncultured bacterium. RNAcentral describes it as "partial 16S ribosomal RNA". It matches the Rfam family "Bacterial small subunit ribosomal RNA", at positions 28 to 507 of the family's 1533-position model. The record is from RNAcentral.
GGCGAACGCUGGCGGCAGGCCUAACACAUGCAAGUCGAACGAACCUUUCGGGGUUAGUGGCGGACGGGUGAGUAACACGUGGGAACGUGCCUUUAGGUUCGGAAUAACUCAGGGAAACUUGUGCUAAUACCGAAUGUGCCCUUCGGGGGAAAGAUUUAUCGCCUUUAGAGCGGCCCGCGUCUGAUUAGCUAGUUGGUUGAGGUAAUGGCUCACCAAGGCGACGAUCAGUAGCUGGUCUGAGAGGAUGAUCAGCCACAUUGGGACUGAGACACGGCCCAAACCCUACGGGAGGCAGCAGUGGGGAAUCUUGCGCAAUGGGCGAAAGCCUGACGCAGCCAUGCCGCGUGAAUGAUGAAGGUCUUAGGAUUGUAAAAUUCUUUCACCGGGGACGAUAAUGACGGUACCCGGAGAAGAAGCCCCGGCUAACUUCGUG